This 824-nucleotide ribosomal RNA is filed under the name Ceratocystis major. Its description in RNAcentral is "eukaryotic LSU rRNA". It matches the Rfam family "Eukaryotic large subunit ribosomal RNA", at positions 76 to 929 of the family's 3401-position model. The record is from RNAcentral. Lineage: Eukaryota; Fungi; Ascomycota; Sordariomycetes; Microascales; Ceratocystidaceae.
UGCCCUAGUAACGGCGAGUGAAGCGGCAACAGCUCAAAUUUGAAAUCUGGCUACUUCGUAGUCCGAGUUGUAAUUUGUAGAGGAUGCUUUUGGUGAAGUGCUUUCUGAGUUCCCUGGAACGGGACGCCAGAGAGGGUGAGAGCCCCGUACAGUUAGCAACUGAUCCUUUGUAUAGCUCCUUCGACGAGUCGAGUAGUUUGGGAAUGCUGCUCUAAAUGGGAGGUAUAUCUCUUCUAAAGCUAAAUAUAGGCUAGAGACCGAUAGCGCACAAGUAGAGUGAUCGAAAGAUGAAAAGCACUUUGAAAAGAGAGUUAAACAGCACGUGAAAUUGUUGAAAGGGAAGCGCCUAUGACCAGACUUGUCUCUAUCAGUUUUGGUAGUUUUCGGACUGCUUUACUCUGUUAGUACAGGCCAACAUCAGUUUGUUGUCGGGGAGAAAGGCUUAGGGAAUGUGGCUCCUUCGGGAGUGUUAUAGCCCUUUGCAUAAUACCCUUCGGCAGACUGAGGACCGCGCUUCGGCAAGGAUGUUGGCGUAAUGGUCAUCAGCGACCCGUCUUGAAACACGGACCAAGGAGUCAACCUUAUAUGCGAGUGUUUGGGUGUAAAACCCCAGCGCGUAAUGAACGUGAACGUAGGUGAGAGCUUCGGCGCAUCAUCGACCGAUUCUGAUGUUCUCGGAUGGAUUUGAGUAAGAGCAUAUAGGGUUGGACCCGAAAGAAGGUGAACUAUGCUUGUAUAGGGUGAAGCCAGAGGAAACUCUGGUGGAGGCUCGCAGCGGUUCUGACGUGCAAAUCGAUCGUCAAAUAUGAGCAUGGGGGCGAAAG